GGUUAAGCGACUAAGCGUACACGGUGGAUGCCCUGGCAGUCAGAGGCGAUGAAGGGCGUGCUAAUCUGCGAUAAGCGCCGGUAAGGUGAUAUGAACCGUUAUAACCGGCGAUACCCGAAUGGGGAAACCCAGUGUGAUUCGUCACACUAUCAUUAACUGAAUCCAUAGGUUAAUGAGGCGAACCGGGGGAACUGAAACAUCUAAGUACCCCGAGGAAAAGAAAUCAACCGAGAUUCCCCCAGUAGCGGCGAGCGAACGGGGAGGAGCCCAGAGCCUGAAUCAGCAUGUGUGUUAGUGGAAGCGUCUGGAAAGGCGCGCGAUACAGGGUGACAGCCCCGUACACAAAAGCGCAUGUGCUGUGAGCUCGAUGAGUAGGGCGGGACACGUGGUAUCCUGUCUGAAUAUGGGGAAAUUCAUCCUCCAAGGCUAAAUACUCCUGACUGACCGAUAGUGAACCAGUACCGUGAGGGAAAGGCGAAAAGAACCCCGGCGAGGGGAGUGAAAAAGAACCUGAAACCGUGUACGUACAAGCAGUGGGAGCCCCACCACCAAAGCAUUCUCUGGUGUUGAAGGCCCUGCAAAGCAGCAUCGCGGUGGCGGAGCGUCGUUUGCGACGCCCAACACACAAAACAAGCGGUGAGUGCUUUGGGGUGGGGUGACUGCGUACCUUUUGUAUAAUGGGUCAGCGACUUAUAUUCUGUAGCAAGGUUAACCGAAUAGGGGAGCCGGAGGGAAACCGAGUCUUAAUUGGGCGUUAAGUUGCAGGGUAUAGACCCGAAACCCGGUGAUCUAGCCAUGGGCAGGUUGAAGGUUGGGUAACACUAACUGGAGGACCGAACCGACUAAUGUUGAAAAAUUAGCGGAUGACCUGUGGCUGGGGGUGAAAGGCCAAUCAAACCGGGAGAUAGCUGGUUCUCCCCGAAAGCUAUUUAGGUAGCGCCUCGUGAAUUCAUCUCCGGGGGUAGAGCACUGUUUCGGCUAGGGGGCCAUCCCGGCUUACCAACCCGAUGCAAACUGCGAAUACCGGAGAAUGUUAUCACGGGAGACACACGGCGGGUGCUAACGUCCGUCGUGAAGAGGGAAACAACCCAGACCGCCAGCUAAGGUCCCAAAGUCAUGGUUAAGUGGGAAACGAUGUGGGAAGGCCCAGACAGCCAGGAUGUUGGCUUAGAAGCAGCCAUCAUUUAAAGAAAGCGUAAUAGCUCACUGGUCGAGUCGGCCUGCGCGGAAGAUGUAACGGGGCUAAACCAUGCACCGAAGCUGCGGCAGCGACACUCAGGUGUUGUUGGGUAGGGGAGCGUUCUGUAAGCCUGCGAAGGUGGCCUGUGAGGGUUGCUGGAGGUAUCAGAAGUGCGAAUGCUGACAUAAGUAACGAUAAAGCGGGUGAAAAGCCCGCUCGCCGGAAGACCAAGGGUUCCUGUCCAACGUUAAUCGGGGCAGGGUGAGUCGACCCCUAAGGCGAGGCCGAAAGGCGUAGUCGAUGGGAAACGGGUUAAUAUUCCCGUACUUGGUGUUACUGCGAAGGGGGGACGGAGAAGGCUAUGUUGGCCGGGCGACGGUUGUCCCGGUUUAAGCGUGUAGGUGUGUGUUCCAGGUAAAUCCGGUUCACUUUAACACUGAGGCGUGAUGACGAGGCACUACGGUGCUGAAGCAACAAAUGCCCUGCUUCCAGGAAAAGCCUCUAAGCAUCAGGUAACAUCAAAUCGUACCCCAAACCGACACAGGUGGUCAGGUAGAGAAUACCAAGGCGCUUGAGAGAACUCGGGUGAAGGAACUAGGCAAAAUGGUGCCGUAACUUCGGGAGAAGGCACGCUGACACGUAGGUGAAGUGAUUUACUCAUGGAGCUGAAGUCAGUCGAAGAUACCAGCUGGCUGCAACUGUUUAUUAAAAACACAGCACUGUGCAAACACGAAAGUGGACGUAUACGGUGUGACGCCUGCCCGGUGCCGGAAGGUUAAUUGAUGGGGUCAGCGCAAGCGAAGCUCCUGAUCGAAGCCCCGGUAAACGGCGGCCGUAACUAUAACGGUCCUAAGGUAGCGAAAUUCCUUGUCGGGUAAGUUCCGACCUGCACGAAUGGCGUAAUGAUGGCCAGGCUGUCUCCACCCGAGACUCAGUGAAAUUGAACUCGCUGUGAAGAUGCAGUGUACCCGCGGCAAGACGGAAAGACCCCGUGAACCUUUACUAUAGCUUGACACUGAACAUUGAGCCUUGAUGUGUAGGAUAGGUGGGAGGCUUUGAAGUGUGGACGCCAGUCUGCAUGGAGCCGACCUUGAAAUACCACCCUUUAAUGUUUGAUGUUCUAACGUGGACCCGUAAUCCGGGUUGCGGACAGUGUCUGGUGGGUAGUUUGACUGGGGCGGUCUCCUCCUAAAGAGUAACGGAGGAGCACGAAGGUUGGCUAAUCCUGGUCGGACAUCAGGAGGUUAGUGCAAUGGCAUAAGCCAGCUUGACUGCGAGCGUGACGGCGCGAGCAGGUGCGAAAAGCAGGUCAUAGUGAUCCGGUGGUUCUGAAUGGAAGGGCCAUCGCUCAACGGAUAAAAGGUACUCCGGGGAUAACAGGCUGAUACCGCCCAAGAGUUCAUAUCGACGGCGGUGUUUGGCACCUCGAUGUCGGCUCAUCACAUCCUGGGGCUGAAGUAGGUCCCAAGGGUAUGGCUGUUCGCCAUUUAAAGUGGUACGCGAGCUGGGUUUAGAACGUCGUGAGACAGUUCGGUCCCUAUCUGCCGUGGGCGCUGGAGAACUGAGGGGGGCUGCUCCUAGUACGAGAGGACCGGAGUGGACGCAUCACUGGUGUUCGGGUUGUCAUGCCAAUGGCACUGCCCGGUAGCUAAAUGCGGAAGAGAUAAGUGCUGAAAGCAUCUAAGCACGAAACUUGCCCCGAGAUGAGUUCUCCCUGAGACUUUAAGUCUCCUGAAGGAACGUUGAAGACGACGACGUUGAUAGGCCGGGUGUGUAAGCGCAGCGAUGCGUUGAGCUAACCGGUACUAAUGAACCGUGAGGCUUAACCUU
This 3010-nucleotide ribosomal RNA is filed under the name Salmonella enterica subsp. enterica serovar Infantis. RNAcentral describes it as "23S ribosomal RNA". It matches the Rfam family "Bacterial large subunit ribosomal RNA". The record is from RNAcentral. Lineage: Bacteria; Pseudomonadati; Pseudomonadota; Gammaproteobacteria; Enterobacterales; Enterobacteriaceae.